CUCUGUUCUCAAGAUAGAGUACACUCUCUUAAACUUUAGAUUUUCCUUGCUGUUGCUCUCAGAUCUAAUUCUGGUUUUCUGCAACUUUCAAUUCUUUCAAGGUGGUGUGAUGAUGGCCUGUGGGCUGAGAGCUCUGGAAGCUGCUGAUUCAAUUGCCUCAAGGGAUUGCUGAUGGCUUGCAGAGGUCAACUGUCCAUUGGCAGCCAGCAGAGAUCACAAUUCCGACAGUUCCCCAUUAUGUCAGGAAAAAGCCAAGAUCAAGACUGGUAUUAUUCCUCUCCCCAAGAAGAAAACAGAAAAACAAGACAACAACAACAACAACCCAGAGCUUUCAGUAGAUUGAUUGGUUCUUAA
Molecule: long non-coding RNA, 354 nt
Organism: Monodelphis domestica (gray short-tailed opossum)
Lineage: Eukaryota; Metazoa; Chordata; Mammalia; Didelphimorphia; Didelphidae
Source: RefSeq, a predicted model, not a curated record